Molecule: ribosomal RNA, 497 nt
Filed under: uncultured bacterium
Lineage: Bacteria
Description: partial 16S ribosomal RNA
Rfam family: Bacterial small subunit ribosomal RNA
Source: RNAcentral
GAUGAACGCUGGCGGCGUGCCUAAUACAUGCAAGUCGAGCGAACGGACGAGAAGCUUGCUUUUCUGAUGUUAGCGGCGGACGGGUGAGUAACACGUGGAUAACCUACCUAUAAGACUGGGAUAACUUCGGGAAACCGGAGCUAAUACCGGAUAAUAUUUUGAACCGCAUGGUUCAAAAGUGAAAGACGGUCUUGCUGUCACUUAUAGAUGGAUCCGCGCUGCAUUAGCUAGUUGGUAAGGUAACGGCUUACCAAGGCAACGAUGCAUAGCCGACCUGAGAGGGUGAUCGGCCACACUGGAACUGAGACACGGUCCAGACUCCUAGGGGAGGCAGCAGUAGGGAAUCUUCCGCAAUGGGCGAAAGCCUGACGGAGCAACGCCGCGUGAGUGAUGAAGGUCUUCGGAUCGUAAAACUCUGUUAUUAGGGAAGAACAUAUGUGUAAGUAACUGUGCACAUCUUGACGGUACCUAAUCAGAAAGCCACGGCUAACUACGUG